RNAcentral lists this ribosomal RNA (668 nucleotides) under uncultured bacterium. RNAcentral's name for it is "bacterial SSU rRNA". It matches the Rfam family "Bacterial small subunit ribosomal RNA", at positions 159 to 845 of the family's 1533-position model. The record is from RNAcentral.
ACUGCUAAUACCGCAUAAGCGCACAGCUUCGCAUGAAGCAGUGUGAAAAACUCCGGUGGUACAAGAUGGACCCGCGUCUGAUUAGCUGGUUGGUGAGGUAACGGCCCACCAAGGCGACGAUCAGUAGCCGGCCUGAGAGGGUGAACGGCCACAUUGGGACUGAGACACGGCCCAAACUCCUACGGGAGGCAGCAGUGGGGAAUAUUGCACAAUGGGGGAAACCCUGAUGCAGCAACGCCGCGUGAGUGAAGAAGUAUUUCGGUAUGUAAAGCUCUAUCAGCAGGAAAGAAAAUGACGGUACCUGACUAAGAAGCCCCGGCUAACUACGUGCCAGCAGCCGCGGUAAUACGUAGGGGGCAAGCGUUAUCCGGAUUUACUGGGUGUAAAGGGAGCGUAGACGGUUUUGCAAGUCUGAAGUGAAAGCCCGGGGCUUAACCCCGGGACUGCUUUGGAAACUGUAGGACUAGAGUGCAGGAGAGGUAAGUGGAAUUCCUAGUGUAGCGGUGAAAUGCGUAGAUAUUAGGAGGAACACCAGUGGCGAAGGCGGCUUACUGGACUGUAACUGACGUUGAGGCUCGAAAGCGUGGGGAGCAAACAGGAUUAGAUACCCUGGUAGUCCACGCCGUAAACGAUAAUUGCUAGGUGUUGGUGGGUAUGACCCAUCGGUG